AUUCAACAACAUACUCUCCCCAUCUUUAAACAACAAACUACCUUCAGAGAACCAUCGCUCAGUCACACUCUCGUCUCACAAGGAAUGAUCUAGCCUACUGACACUACCAACAUUUUUUAUUGAUAGAAAUGAUAAAGGUGGGAUUCAACAACAUAAUCUCCCCACCAUUGAACAACAAAUUGUGAGUAAAACUAGCUUUAAAAAAAAAAUUAUCGUGUUCUUUACUGCUCGUACAGCAUCAUCGGGCCGGAUAGAGCAUCUGUAGGCUUUUGCCAUCUUGUCUGCGUUCAUUGCAUUCCAGCCUAUGCCUGGAUAAGUAUUGUUAUUAAGAUGAGAAAUGUUUUAGUAUUUUUUCUAACAACUGUUGUCAUAC
This 373-nucleotide long non-coding RNA is filed under the name Cimex lectularius (bed bug). Its description in RNAcentral is "uncharacterized LOC106672564, transcript variant X2". Lineage: Eukaryota; Metazoa; Arthropoda; Insecta; Hemiptera; Cimicidae. The record is from RNAcentral.